This 1917-nucleotide ribosomal RNA is filed under the name human gut metagenome. Its description in RNAcentral is "bacterial LSU rRNA". It matches the Rfam family "Bacterial large subunit ribosomal RNA", at positions 980 to 2925 of the family's 2925-position model. The record is from RNAcentral.
GGAGUCAGACUGCACGAGAUAAGUUGGGCAGUCAAAAGGGAAAGAGCCCAGACCUACAGCUAAGGUCCCAAAGUGCGUGUUAAGUGGAAAAGGAUGUGGGAUUUCGAAGACAACUAGGAUGUUGGCUCAGAAGCAGCCAUACAUUCAAAGAGUGCGUAAUAGCUCACUAGUCGAGAGGUCCUGCGCCGAAAAUGUCCGGGGCUGAAACACGACACCGAAGCUUAGGAAUCACAUAGUGAUUGGUAGAGGAGCAUUCUUAAAACCGACGAAGCUGUACCGGAAGGAGCAGUGGAGGGAUAAGAAGAGAGAAUGCCGGAAUGAGUAGCGAGAGGAAGGUGGGAAUCCUUCCGGCCGAAUAUCUAAGGUUUCCAGAGUAAAGCUGAUCUGCUCUGGGUAAGUCGGGGCCUAAGGCGAGGUCGAAAGACGUAGUCGAUGGAUAACAGGUGGAGAUUCCUGUACUAUGUGUACCCAGAACUGUGGGGACGCAUGUGGAGAGCAUGAGCCGGGAAAGAGAAGACCGGUACAAGCGGGGUAGGAGUAAGGACAGCAAAUCUUCCUUACAAUCCGAAGACGUAAUGUGGACCGAACCAAAGUAGGGAAGCGUGUGAGCCAUGUGCCAAGAAAAGCCGCUAUUGUGAUACACAUACCCGUACCGUAAACCGACACAGGUGGAUGAGGAGAGAAUCCUAAGGCCGACGGAAGAAGCAUUGUUAAGGAACUCGGCAAAAUGACCCCGUAACUUCGGGAGAAGGGGUGCCUGCGAGAGCAGGCCGCAGAGAAUAGGCUCAAGCAACUGUUUAGCAAAAACACAGGUCUAUGCGAAACCGAAAGGUGAGGUAUAUGGGCUGACGCCUGCCCGGUGCUGGAAGGUUAAGAGGAGAGGUUAGCGCAAGCGAAGCUUUGAAUUUAAGCCCCAGUAAACGGCGGCCGUAACUAUAACGGUCCUAAGGUAGCGAAAUUCCUUGUCGGGUAAGUUCCGACCCGCACGAAAGGCGUAAUGAUUUGAGCGCUGUCUCGACAAUGCAUCCGGUGAAAUUGAAGUACCAGUGAAGAUGCUGGUUACCCGCGCCAGGACGGAAAGACCCCAUGGAGCUUUACUCCAGUUUGGUACUGGGAUUCGGUACUGCAUGUACAGGAUAGGUGGGAGACUGAGAAAUUGGAACGCCAGUUUCAAUGGAGUCACUGUUGGGAUACCACCCCUGCAGUAUUGGGUUUCUAACCAGCCGCUGUGAUCCAGCGGUGGGACAAUGCCAGGCGGGGAGUUUGACUGGGGCGGUCGCCUCCGAAAGGGUAUCGGAGGCGCUCAAAGGUUCCCUCAGAAUGGUUGGAAACCAUUCGAAGAGUGCAAAGGCAGAAGGGAGCUUGACUGCGACACCGACGGGUGGAGCAGGUACGAAAGUAGGACUUAGUGAUCCGGUGGUAUAAAGUGGGAUUGCCAUCGCUCAACGGAUAAAAGCUACCCUGGGGAUAACAGGCUUAUCACUCCCAAGAGUUCACAUCGACGGAGUGGUUUGGCACCUCGAUGUCGGCUCAUCGCAUCCUGGGGCUGUAGCAGGUCCCAAGGGUUGGGCUGUUCGCCCAUUAAAGCGGUACGCGAGCUGGGUUCAGAACGUCGUGAGACAGUUCGGUCCCUAUCCGGCGCGGGCGGAGGAUAUUUGAGAGGAGCUGUCCUUAGUACGAGAGGACCGGGAUGGACGGACCACUGGUGUAUCUGCUGUCGACCAACGGCAUGGCAGAGUAGCCAAGUCCGGAAGGGAUAAACGCUGAAGGCAUCUAAGCGUGAAGCCCCCCUCAAGAUGAGAUAUCCCUCACAUAAGUGAGUAAGAUCCCUUGAAGAGUACAAGGUAGAUAGGGCAGAGGUGGAAGCACGGUAACGUGUGGAGCUGACUGUUACUAAUCGAUCGAGGGCUUGACCAA